GACGAACGCUGGCGGCGUGCUUAACACAUGCAAGUCGAACGGAAAGGCCCUGCGCUUGUUGGUUUCUCGAGUGGCGAGCGGGGGAGUAUCACGUGAGUGACCUGCGCUUUGCUUUGGGAGAACUUCAGGGAACAGGGUAUAUAAUACCGUAUAACCUCGUGCUGCACGUUGGGGUUUGUAAAGUUUCGGCGUUUGUGGAUGGACAGGCGGCCUUUCAUCUUGUUGGUGGGGUAGUGGCGUACCAGGGCUUUGAGGGGUAGCCGGACUGAGAGGGUGACCGGCCCCAUUGGGACUGAGAUACGGGCAAGAGUCAUACGGGAGGCAGCAGUGGGGAAUAGUGCACGAUGCGCGGAAGGCUGAUGGAGGAACGCCGCGUGCGGGAUGACGGCUUUCGGGUUGUAACCCGCUUUCGCCUGUGACGAAGAGUGUGUGACGGUAAUGGGUAAAGAAGCAACGGCUAACUACGUG
This 468-nucleotide ribosomal RNA is filed under the name uncultured bacterium. Its description in RNAcentral is "partial 16S ribosomal RNA". It matches the Rfam family "Bacterial small subunit ribosomal RNA", at positions 28 to 507 of the family's 1533-position model. The record is from RNAcentral.